Molecule: long non-coding RNA, 3770 nt
Organism: Alosa alosa (allis shad)
Lineage: Eukaryota; Metazoa; Chordata; Actinopteri; Clupeiformes; Clupeidae
Exons: 4
Source: RefSeq, a predicted model, not a curated record
CGAUGCAUUCUUCUGCUCUAUUAGCAGUGAUAUUAGACUGCUGGGUUACAUUCUCUGCAUUUCCAGUAGUCUAUGUACUCACUUCAUGAGAUGCCUCUCGUAGUUCAUCUGUCGUUGAUGGAAGUGCAUGCAUCUUUGAUUCCAAAGUAGAAAUCCUCUGUUCUAGCUCAGUACAUUUUCGGCAUGAUCUCCUGCGUCUCUGGCCGGAGAAGCGCAUUUUGUUUUAAUCCAACUUCAAGGUGACUUGCCGCAUUUGGCUGGCUCAUUUAAAGUAAAAAACUAACCACUAAAGUUUCAGAUUUAAAUGUACUGGUUUCACUGUAUUAGCUAAUCUAGCUUGUAAAUGAAAUGAAAGAAUGAAAAAGAGUGGAAAUUGCUAAAAGGAGGUGAAGCAGGAGCAGUGUGAAAUGCGUCCUACUCGCUUGAGUAGGAAAGUAAGAUACCUUAUGCAAGGUAUCCGCAUAAUUAAUGGAAGAGGCGCAGGCAUACGAGAACAUUUCUUGCAGGGUUCAAAAAUAGCACACCACUCACCAGCCAAUCAAACAAUAAAAUAAAUAGUCACCAGACAUCCAAUCAAAAAAUAGCAUUCGUUGUAUCCAGGUAAAAUUACAAAAUAGGUGAUCUCCUCCCUGCAAUCUUAUGCCUAUUGAUACACAAACACAAGGGGUGCAAUCAAGUGCAAAGUGAAAUAGCCAGAUCGGAUGAAUGUGGUUCCUCUUCAGUUUGUUCAUUUUCAUUUUAUAUUUUCUGAACAAUAUUACUUGCUUGAUCAAAAUGAUUACGAGAAUGUGUGCACUACUUUUGCUACAGUGCAAGUGUUACUAAAUCAAUAGAUUAGAUUCGAUUCAACUAUGUACUCCUCUUAGUAAGUAGUAAAUGGUGCACUUGUUUUAGUAAAUAGUGCACUAUGUACUCCUCUUAGUAAGUAGUAAAUGGUGCACUUGUUUUAGUAAAUAGUGCACUAUGUACUCCUCUUAGUAAGUAGUAAAUAGUGCACUUACUUUAUUAAAUUGUGCACUCAUUUUUUUUUUUUAAAUCUCACCCCAAACUGAGCUCAAAACUUGAGAACCCUGAUAUACAAAUGUCAACAAUGAAAAUAAUGAGUUUUUAUAUUAACAAGAACCGUAAACAGACCAUAAUUCAAAUAUGUCCUGUUGGUCUAACUUGACAGGCUUGUUGACCCUAACCUGACUGUCCUGUAGUGUCUGUUACAUUACUGUGUCCUGUACAGUAAACUGACAGAUUUACUACACUCUAGUUGAUGUCCGCUAGUGUCUGUGAUCUUGCCAUCCUGCAGUGUUAACUGAUAGAUAUGUUGUCCCUGUAGCUAAUGUCCUGGGGUGCGUUUCCCAAAAGCAUCGUUGCUAACUACGGUAGCAACUAACAUGGUUGCAACUAUGUAAGUAUGACACAACUGUUCCCCAAAACGAUAGUGAACUAUGGUGGUGGAACUUACAUAGUACGAUGCAUCGUGACACUGCGUCAGUGUUUCCCAAAACCAUAGUAGCAACUAACGUUCACAACCACUAUCGUAAAGUUGUGUAGUUACAGCUACACCUCUCGACCUGUAGUAUGUAGUAAGAACCAUAGUAGACAACGUAACCCUGAUGACGGAACACGCAGAGGACAGAUGGAUGAGAGGUAGCCAUUAAACAAUCCCAUAACAUUGCUGUGGGAUACCAUACCAUAGCAUUGCUGGAAGCUACAAUUGCACAUUACUGGACAACGUUAUGUGGUACAGUGGAAAGUGAAGUGUUGUGGAGUUAGCCUACAACAGAGCGGCCUGUGGUGAAGUGCUAUGGUGACCGCAAUCAUCUGUGUUGUUAUUAUUCGUGAAUUUACAUGUAGCCUAAUGCUAAUGUGUCAGCACAGAUUCUUUCGAACACCCGUUAAGUUAAGUUAUCUGGUGAUAAAGCUUUUGAAUGCCAACGGUAUUGUUAUGUGAGGCUAGCAUUGUAAUUGUUAUAAAAGGAUAAUGUUACAUUGUAGUCUUAUGUUAAGUGUGUUUGGAUGAAUCUGCUAAUCAUACACAUAGCUAACGGUAUAUGGACUCUACAGCCCAUUAUGAUGUGGUGAAGUGACUGUGCUGUGGCAGAGACUGUAGCAUGUGUGCUUUACAUGAGACAGGUCAGGGGUUCAAGACUGAGUCGAUGGGUGUGAGGUGAGUAUGCCUGUGGAGUGGGGUUUGUGUUGUAUCUUGUCUGAUGACAAACUAUGUUUAGCGGGUGUAUAAGUUAGGCUACUCUCAGUUAUUAUAUGAUCUUGAUAUUUGAACACAUAGCUGAAUUAUGUUGGUACAAUGACAUUGGAGAAUGCUGCUGUGAAGUUGAGUAGCCUCGCGCUUGGAGAACUUUAAGACCUCUGGGACUUAAGUGAGCAUGCAGAGUGCUGUGGUCAGUGUCAAAAUGUGACAUGAUUUUCACUGAUUUAACUUGUCCUUCAUGGCCCAGGGAUGGGUAGGCCUGUCAUGGGAGGCGGAAAAAUGGCCAGCAGGAAGGUGUGCAGCAGCCACUGGAAUGACCUCUUCCACCUCCUCCACUAACAGCUCCUCAUCAGCCGGCAGUGGGAUGUGAUCCUGAAGGGCCAUGUUGCAGAAGCGCCGCCACCAAAACUACACUGCACGCCUUUGCAGGAUGGAGCUUCAGGCCACCAGCGGAUUUGCUCACACACCUUUCCACAUGCCCAGGGCCCUCUCCACAACAACGCGGGUCCGGCUAUGGGCGUUGUUGUACCGCGCCUCUGCCUCACUGUUGGGCUCCUAGAUGGAGCAGUUGACAUGCUUGUAUUAUCAUAGGGGGGUUUAUGGAAUAAAGUAGGUCUUGAAAUGUCAGUGCACUCAGGGAAUAUAGACAUGCAUUUGAAAACAACAGUAUAGACUUUGCUACUAUCUCAGCAGUAGAAGGCAACAACAUGAGCAGCACCUACAGUAACACUGUGUGUGUGUGUGUGUGUGUGUGUGUGUGUGUGUGUGUGUUGGUACAGCUGGCGCAGAUCCUUCAACCAUUUGAGCAUUGAAACAUUUGUGCUAUGUGAACUGUCGUUUUGUGGUUGUGAUUCAACACACAACUUCAUAACUACAAUGGAUGAAAAGUAAUGCCGAGGCUCGAUCAUCCAUGAGUCGGAUUUAACAUUUACAGCCAACGUGACCCUUCCCAGCAGUACGGCCAUCUACAACACUAUGCUCCGUGCGGCCCAGAGUGGAGACCUCACUUUCACCAUCACCACACUCAAACGGCACAGCUGUGUCCUCGGCAGUAGUCAGCAGUGUGGCCAGCGUCUUCACUGCCUGGAGCCUGGUGGUCAUCUCUCUAUUGGUGUCACUACAGUGGUUGGCUCAGUGACCUGUCAAUCAUUGAAGUGUCCAAUGGCAUGUGAGAAAUAACUCACAGGGGACCAGAUCAGAACUUACCCUCAAAAAGACUUCCCCUUAGAAUCACCAAACAAGGGCCCACACGGAAGCAUGUUAACAUAGAAAUUACAAACAAGGGCCCAUAUGGAAGCUGUUUUCCAUAGAAACUCCAAAACAAGAGCCCUAAUGACCACUGAUCUCAGUCUGAUCUAAGUCAGGUCAGGUGUGAAUGCAGCAAUGAUCUUUAUGACAGAUAUUUGGCAUGAAGUACAUCUGUUUGCUUGUUUUCUUAUUCCAUUAAUUAAUAUCUUCUUAAUGUAACUAUAAUAACCUAAUGUAUGACCUAAUGUAACUAACUAUUAAACACAAAGGCAAAUGACAACAUUAGUCCAUUUCAUCAUUCAAUACUGCCACAACCACA